Molecule: long non-coding RNA, 160 nt
Organism: Mesocricetus auratus (golden hamster)
Lineage: Eukaryota; Metazoa; Chordata; Mammalia; Rodentia; Cricetidae
Exons: 2
Source: RefSeq, a predicted model, not a curated record
GACACAGGCUCCUUCUGCUGCCUGCAGAUCAAGAUACAGAACUUGCAGCUCCUCUCCAGCACCGUGUCUGCCUGCACGUCACCUGCCAUGAGGACAACAGACUGAUCCUCUGAACUAUCAGCAAAACCCCAAGACUAAUAAUAAAUAACCCGACUUACAA